RNAcentral lists this ribosomal RNA (496 nucleotides) under uncultured bacterium. RNAcentral's name for it is "partial 16S ribosomal RNA". It matches the Rfam family "Bacterial small subunit ribosomal RNA", at positions 29 to 507 of the family's 1533-position model. The record is from RNAcentral.
AUGAACGCUGGCGGCGUGCCUCAUACAUGCACGUCGAGCGAACGGACGAGAAGCUUGCUUCUCUGAUGUUAGCGGCGGACGGGUGAGUAACACGUGGAUAACCUACCUAUAAGACUGGGAUAACUUCGGGAAACCGGAGCUAAUACCGGAUGAUAUUUUGAACCGCAUGGUUCAAAAGUGAAAGACGGUCUUGCUGUCACUUAUAGAUGGAUCCGCGCUGCAUUAGCUAGUUGGUAAGGUAACGGCUUACCAAGGCAACGAUGCAUAGCCGACCUGAGAGGGUGAUCGGCCACACUGGAACUGAGACACGGUCCAGACUCCUACGGGAGGCAGCAGUAGGGAAUCUUCCGCAAUGGGCGAAAGCCUGACGGAGCAACGCCGCGUGAGUGAUGAAGGUCUUCGGAUCGUAAAACUCUGUUAUUAGGGAAGAACAUAUGUGUAAGUAACUGUGCACAUCUUGACGGUACCUAAUCAGAAAGCCACGGCUAACUACGUG